This 376-nucleotide ribosomal RNA is filed under the name Kurtia argillacea. RNAcentral describes it as "partial 16S ribosomal RNA". It matches the Rfam family "Bacterial small subunit ribosomal RNA", at positions 402 to 763 of the family's 1533-position model. The record is from RNAcentral. Lineage: Eukaryota; Fungi; Basidiomycota; Agaricomycetes; Hymenochaetales.
UGCUUUAUUUUGGAUUUAAAAUUUUCAAAAUUAAUAACGUAAGAUUAAAAUAAUGAUAUUAUCUUACUAUUAGUGUCGUCCAAAACAGGUGCCAGAAGACACGGUAACGCCAGAGACGCAAACGUUAAUCAUCUUGAAAAGGCGUAAAGGGUUUGUAGGCUGUUUUAAAAAUUUUUAAAACCAAAUUUUACUAUUAUAUAUUUAUAUUUUAAUAAAUAAUAUAUUUAAUUUUAAAAAUGAAUUAAAACUAGAAUCUAAAAGAGGAGGGAGUCUGUAGAACAUAUAGAGUAGGGUUAAAAUCUGUAAAUCCUAUAUAGAAUACUAAAGGGCGAAGGCAAUUCUCCAAUAAAGAUUGACGCUGAGGAACGAAGGGGAG